UGCGAAACUCGAAUGAACGAACGGAGAGAUUCAUCGUUUAUCUCGGGCGCGUCUGCGUCCCCUAUCGAUGUGGACGGCGCUCGCGCCGUGCCGCACGAUGGGCGUAGACCUAGGCGUCCCGGGACGGCGUGCACUUCUCUCUUAGUAAUACAUCGCGACCCGUUCGAUGUCGGUCUAAGCUCCGUUCGGGAGUCGUCUCGUCGCACCCUCACCGGUCGACGGGUCGACCGUGACGGUAGCCGACCGGCCGUCGGACGGUAUAACAACGAAACGCGUACGCGUUAACGCGCGUCCGGCCCGACGCAAGGCAUGUGUCGUAUCCACCGUUCUGCCCGAGUGCGGACGGAGGUGCGGCGCGCCUGCAUAUUAUAUGUCGCUGCCGUGCAGUCUCGGACUGUACGCGUCUCCGUCUGCGAUGAUUCAGUUUCGG
RNAcentral lists this ribosomal RNA (430 nucleotides) under Haematopis grataria. Its description in RNAcentral is "partial 28S ribosomal RNA". Lineage: Eukaryota; Metazoa; Arthropoda; Insecta; Lepidoptera; Geometridae. The record is from RNAcentral.